UUCGCUGGAGAAAUCAAGAACUGGUGGCUACUGAGGACUUUGUAAGAAAAGAGUACUACUAAGAAGUCCAAUAGGAGCAGUGAAAUACCUGCUCCACUUUUUAAACAGACAUCUGUAACAGAAGUUAAAGAAAAAAUAUCACCAACAGAGGAUCAAACUCUGCAGUUUACUCACAUGUGAACCUUGCUAAGGUGGAAGUAUUCUAACAGCGCCUAAAGUAAACAAAAAUUGAGAUUGAGAUAGGAAAAUAAAUGAAAAUUUUCCUCUGGGGCAGGCUAAGGAAAAGAAGAUUUAGUGCACAAUAUUACCGUGAGAUUGUUGCAGAGGCUUCCUAAUUUGGUGGUUUCCUAAAUCAGAGGAAAGAACUUCUCAAUCACAGCAGACGCAGUGAGAUUGCAGCUGUGGGUGCCAAGCCGAAAGCACAUUUGCUUGGUGUUUUCUCAGGAACACGUCCACAAGUCACUUAUGCCUCAGUUCUGUUCCCGUGAAACAUCCCAGAAGGGGCUAAGAGGAGAAGUGUGGAAAACUAGAACCACAGUGUGA
Molecule: long non-coding RNA, 543 nt
Filed under: Pan troglodytes (chimpanzee)
Lineage: Eukaryota; Metazoa; Chordata; Mammalia; Primates; Hominidae
Description: lncRNA (ENSPTRG00000052973.1)
Source: RNAcentral